RNAcentral lists this ribosomal RNA (305 nucleotides) under uncultured bacterium. RNAcentral describes it as "bacterial SSU rRNA". It matches the Rfam family "Bacterial small subunit ribosomal RNA", at positions 333 to 654 of the family's 1533-position model. The record is from RNAcentral.
AGUAUCCUACGGGACGCAGCAGUGGGGAAUAUUGCACAAUGGGGGGAACCCUGACGCAGUGACGCCGCGUAUAGGAAGAAGGUUUUCGGAUUGUAAACUAUUGUCGUUAGGGAAGAUAAAGGACUGUACCUAAGGAGGAAGCCCCGGCUAACUAUGUGCCAGCAGCCGCGGUAAUACAUAGGGGGCAAGCGUUAUCCGGAAUUAUUGGGUGUAAAGGGUGCGUAGACGGAAGAACAAGUUGGUUGUGAAAUCCCUCGGCUCAACUGAGGAACUGCAACCAAAACUAUUCUCCUUGAGUGUCGGAG